GAAACCGUGCACCACCAUAUUUAUGUUGGUUCAUAUUUAUUGAAUUGAGUUGAAUGGUACUGGUUGAUAGUAUUAUGGAUUGAAUUGAAUAAAUAGUCCAGUAGCAUGACAUCCUGGUUCAAUUGCCUCUAAGAACAAGUGUUUCUUUUAUUGUUGUAUUGUAGAUGGAUAAGAGGACCAAGAUUGUAACUUGUGCUACUGCUGCAUACAUGUUGUUGUCAAUGAUUUGGUGGCUGCUGGUUUGAAGACAUCAAAGGGAUUUAAGAAGCACCUUUUUAAUGGUUGUGCUAGGGUUAUCAAUGAGAAGUUCACCACAAGGAUCACUGGUGAGCAAGUUAAGAAUCAUUUGAAAACAUGGCAGAAAAGGUAUGCAAAGAUAAAUAGAUUGAAGAAGUUGAGUGGUGCCCUCUUUGAUGAAGAAAACUGCAUGAUUACACUAGAUGAGGAGCACUACAACGGCCAUGUCCAGGUAACCUUACUGUCUUUUGCUUAGUUCUUGAUUCAUUCACAAGUGUUAGAUUAUAUUAACAUAUUUUUCCAUCUUGUCUAGGAUCACAAGUCUGAUGCUGAGUACUUGAACAAGCCCCUCUUGCACUAUAGAGAGAUGACGGCAAUAUUUGGCAAUACAAUGGCUACUGGAAAUUUUGCAAAAGACUCAAGUGCACCUCUAGGUAGAGAGGAUGAUGAGGGUGAAAGUCAAGAAGAGGGGGAUGAGGUUACUGGGCAUGGUCCAAGUGAGGGGCAUACCACUCAAGGGGCAACGUCUUCUGCUAGUAGACCUAGUAAGAAGUCCAAGAUAGCUGAAAUGGAGGAGGAUGGGCUGGUUGCCGCCUUCAAAAGUGUAGGUGAGAACCUUGCCGCUGCCAUAAAAAUGGUAGCUAAACCUGAUAAUGAGCUGCCACCUGACCUAUUUGAUGUCUUGAACCAACUUCCUGGUUUUAAUUCAGCACACAUAUCCUUCUACUAUGCUCAUUUGGUGAGCAAUCCUCACAUUGGCAAAGCUUUCUAUAACUUGCCAUUCGAGCACAAGUU
Molecule: long non-coding RNA, 1032 nt
Filed under: Setaria italica (foxtail millet)
Lineage: Eukaryota; Viridiplantae; Streptophyta; Magnoliopsida; Poales; Poaceae
Description: long non-coding RNA (SITA_LNC007276)
Source: RNAcentral